RNAcentral lists this ribosomal RNA (462 nucleotides) under uncultured bacterium. RNAcentral's name for it is "bacterial SSU rRNA". It matches the Rfam family "Bacterial small subunit ribosomal RNA", at positions 28 to 487 of the family's 1533-position model. The record is from RNAcentral.
GACGAACGCUGGCGGCGUGCUUAAUACAUGCAAGUCAACUGAACUUAAGAUAGCAAUAUUUUAAGGGAGGUGGCGCACGGGUGAGUAACACGUAGGUAAUCUGCCUUUAGGUCUGACACAACCCCGAGAAAUCGGGGCUAAUAUCAGAUGAUGCAGCGGCUCGACAUCGAGACAGUUGUUAAACCUUCGGGGCCUAGAGAUGAGCCUGCGUCUGAUUAGGUAGUUGGCGGAGUAAAAGCCCACCAAGCCUGCGAUCAGUAGCUGGUCUGAGAGGAUGAUCAGCCACACUGGAACUGAGACACGGUCCAGACUCCUACGGGAGGCAGCAGUAAGGAAUAUUGCUCAAUGGCCGAAAGGCUGAAGCAGCAACGCCGCGUGAAGGAUGAAAUACUUUUGUAAUGUAAACUUCUGUAAGAUAGGGAAAAAUAUCUCGCUCGGUGAGAUUGAUUGUACCAUCAGAGU